This is a long non-coding RNA of Populus euphratica (Euphrates poplar), 721 nucleotides long. RefSeq lists it as uncharacterized. The record is from RefSeq and is a predicted model, not a curated record. NCBI's taxonomy places the organism in Eukaryota, Viridiplantae, Streptophyta, Magnoliopsida, Malpighiales, Salicaceae. The transcript is spliced from 2 exons.
CAUUCCUGUGUUUUUGUUUUGCUAGAAGACCCUGAGUCAAAUUGCACCAGGCUUGUGUACUCCUAGUUAUUAUUGGAUAUAACAAUGUGAAGAUUUUGAUAUUUUGUUUCACCCUGGGACUUACUUGCUCCCCACGCUCUUUGGCGUCUGGCAACUAUUGGGAUUGACUGACCUAGCAAAUACACAAGCUAUGAAUUUCUGUUUGUGCUUGUUCAUGUGUAUAUGUGUGAAAUGUGAAAAUUGUCUCUAUGGCUCUUGAUAUUUUGUUUAGCCCAGGGAUUUACUUGUUCCAUAAUGUUAUCUGAUGUCCGGCAACUAUUGGAAUUGACUGCUCUACCAACUCCACUAUCUGAUGUCCGGCAAGUUGUGGGCUAGAUGAGGAAAGAUUGAUCUUGAUGAACUUAAGGUUGCAUAAAAUUGACGGCUUUGAAAGGAAAAAUAUUGCAUAUUGGAUGGACUAAAAUUAUGGAGAGCAUCUUCUCAUUCCUUUAGGCGCGUGCUGGUGUAACACCAUUGGUUUAAAUAUAUGGCAUAGAUACAGAUUCAUAAGCAGUGGCUGGGGGUUCCCUUCAUCUUGAUAGUUUGAUUGAAGUCGUGUUUGUGAUGUUUGAUUGCAUUCGUUCAGCAGACAAAACCAAAGCCAACAUAUGGUUCUGUUGAUAUGGUAUUUAAUUAGUGCUUUAGGUGUCAUUCUAAGAAGAUUAUCUUUUUAUCUGACAAA